RNAcentral lists this transfer RNA (73 nucleotides) under Felis catus (domestic cat). It matches the Rfam family "tRNA". From Rfam's summary of the family: Transfer RNA (tRNA) molecules are approximately 80 nucleotides in length. Their secondary structure includes four short double-helical elements and three loops (D, anti-codon, and T loops). Lineage: Eukaryota; Metazoa; Chordata; Mammalia; Carnivora; Felidae. The record is from Rfam by way of RNAcentral.
GCCUGGGUGGCUUAGUCGGUUAAGCAUCUGGCUCUUGCUCUCAGGGUCGUGGGUUCAAGCCCUGCACUGGGCC